This 463-nucleotide ribosomal RNA is filed under the name uncultured bacterium. RNAcentral's name for it is "bacterial SSU rRNA". It matches the Rfam family "Bacterial small subunit ribosomal RNA", at positions 331 to 792 of the family's 1533-position model. The record is from RNAcentral.
CCAGACUCCUACGGGAGGCAGCAGUGAGGAAUAUUGGUCAAUGGCCGCAGGGCUGAACCAACCAAGUCGCGUGAGGGAUGACGGUCCUAUGGAUUGUAAACCUCCUUUGUCAGGGAACAAAGGCGGGGACGUGUCCCCGGAUGAGUGUACCUGAAGAAAAAGCAUCGGCUAACUCCGUGCCAGCAGCCGCGGUAAUACGGAGGAUGCGAGCGUUAUCCGGAUUUAUUGGGUUUAAAGGGUGCGCAGGCGGAAUGUCAAGUCAGCGGUAAAAUUUCGGGGCUCAACCCCGUCGUGCCGUUGAAACUGGCGUUCUUGAGUGAGCGAGAAGUAUGCGGAAUGCGUGGUGUAGCGGUGAAAUGCAUAGAUAUCACGCAGAACUCCGAUUGCGAAGGCAGCAUACCGGCGCUCAACUGACGCUCAUGCACGAAAGCGUGGGUAUCGAACAGGAUUAGAUACCCCAGUA